RNAcentral lists this long non-coding RNA (363 nucleotides) under Homo sapiens (human). RNAcentral describes it as "HSALNT0264703". The record is from RNAcentral. Lineage: Eukaryota; Metazoa; Chordata; Mammalia; Primates; Hominidae.
AAAAAUUAGAAGUUGCAAAAUCUGGCCUCAACUCUUCCUCCCACAGCUAUUCAUCACUCUCUAAAACACUAUUAUCUUUUUUAUAUAUUAUAAUUGCCAUUGACAUUCAUGUCACCUUUUCCUAUGUUGAGGCUUCUUUUAUAUCAACAUUUUCAAAUUAUAAUAUUUACCAGUCCGUUGUCUUCCAUUCUGACUAAUAAGACAUCUCUGUCUGAUUAUAGACCUAAUUCCAACUAAGAAAACACAUUCUGCUGUGUGGAGUCAGCUCUUCGAUAUUUUGAAUUAUUUAGAGGUACCAGUGGCAUCUAAGAGCGGAACAUUUGGAAACCUACCAGUCUAUUCAAAAGGUCAGAGCACCUAACU